CAAGCCGUGGGGCAGCGCGGGUAGCAAUACCUGGCGGCGACCGGCAAACGGGUGCGAAACACGUACGCAACCUUCCUUCAAGUGGGGGAUAGCCCAGGGAAACUUGGAUUAAUACCCCGUAAUACUAUGAGGUGGCAUCACCUUAUACUUAUAGCUCCGGCGCUUGAAGAUGGGCGUGCGCCUGAUUAGGUAGUUGGCGGGGUAAUGGCCCACCAAGCCUACGAUCAGUAACUGGUGUGAGAGCACGACCAGUCACACGGGCACUGAGACACGGGCCCGACUCCUACGGGAGGCAGCAGUAAGGAAUAUUGGGCAAUGGACGCAAGUCUGACCCAGCCAUGCCGCGUGGAGGAUGAAGGUCCUCUGGAUUGUAAACUUCUUUUAUCUGGGAAGAAACCCAUAAUUUCUAUUGUGGUUGACGGUACCAGAUGAAUAAGCACCGGCUAACUCCGUGCCAGCAGCCGCGGUAAUACGGAGGGUGCAAGCGUUAUCCGGAUUCACUGGGUUUAAAGGGUGCGUAGGUGGGUAUGUAAGUCAGUGGUGAAAUCCCCGAGCUUAACUUGGGAACUGCCGUUGAUACUAUAUAUCUUGAAUAUCGCGUAGGUAAGCGGAAUAUGUCAUGUAGCGGUGAAAUGCUUAGAUAUGACAUAGAACACCAAUUGCGAAGGCAGCUUACUUCACGAUUAUUGACACUGAGGCACGAAAGCGUGGGGAGCAAACAGGAUUAGAUACCCUGGUAGUCCACGCCCUAAACGAUGGAUACUCGACAUCAGCGAUACACUGUUGGUGUCUGAGCGAAAGCAUUAAGUAUCCCACCUGGGAAGUACGACCGCAAGGUUGAAACUCAAAGGAAUUGGCGGGGGUCCGCACAAGCGGUGGA
This 880-nucleotide ribosomal RNA is filed under the name uncultured Flavobacteriia bacterium. Its description in RNAcentral is "bacterial SSU rRNA". It matches the Rfam family "Bacterial small subunit ribosomal RNA", at positions 58 to 936 of the family's 1533-position model. Lineage: Bacteria; Pseudomonadati; Bacteroidota; Flavobacteriia. The record is from RNAcentral.